UACGUAGGGUGCGAGCGUUGUCCGGAAUUACUGGGCGUAAAGAGCUCGUAGGCGGUUUGUCGCGUCGUCCGUGAAAACUUGGGGCUCAACCCCAAGCUUGCGGGCGAUACGGGCAGACUUGAGUACUGCAGGGGAGACUGGAAUUCCUGGUGUAGCGGUGAAAUGCGCAGAUAUCAGGAGGAACACCGGUGGCGAAGGCGGGUCUCUGGGACGGUACUGACGCUGAGACGCGAAAGCGUGGGGAGCGAACAGG
Molecule: ribosomal RNA, 253 nt
Filed under: uncultured bacterium
Lineage: Bacteria
Description: partial 16S ribosomal RNA
Rfam family: Bacterial small subunit ribosomal RNA
Source: RNAcentral